This 89-nucleotide transfer RNA is filed under the name Candidatus Doolittlea endobia. It matches the Rfam family "tRNA". Rfam says of the family: Transfer RNA (tRNA) molecules are approximately 80 nucleotides in length. Their secondary structure includes four short double-helical elements and three loops (D, anti-codon, and T loops). Further hydrogen bonds mediate the characteristic L-shaped molecular structure. tRNAs have two regions of fundamental functional importance: the anti-codon, which is responsible for specific mRNA codon recognition, and the 3' end, to which the tRNAs corresponding amino acid is attached (by aminoacyl-tRNA synthetases). tRNAs cope with the degeneracy of the genetic code in two manners: having more than one tRNA (with a specific anti-codon) for a particular amino acid; and 'wobble' base-pairing, i.e. permitting non-standard base-pairing at the 3rd anti-codon position. The record is from Rfam by way of RNAcentral. Lineage: Bacteria; Pseudomonadati; Pseudomonadota; Gammaproteobacteria; Enterobacterales; Enterobacteriaceae.
GGCGAGGUGGCCGAGAGGCUAAAGGCGCUCCCCUGCUAAGGGAGUAUACGGUAAAAGCUGUGUCGAGGGUUCGAAUCCCUCCCUCGCCG